CAACCGGCUUUACUUCCGCAACUGCUCGAUAACCGCGUGUGAUCUUCAGCCUGGGGUAUCCAGGCAGGCCACUGACAUAAUCCCUGAAUUUUAGAUCAAAAUACGAUGAGUGAGGAGCAAAAUCCUUCUGUUUUGCAACCCAAUUGUGAAUGGGCGCGCUUGUGUGCUGUAAAAUUCUCUCUCAUCCCUCUAGGUUAGUUGUGGUGGUGUUAAAAUACAGGUCUAGGCGUUAUCAGAGGUGCAGGUGUUCCACCAUUUGAGUAUGGGAGGGUGUGGAAGCGUUUCUAGCCCUCUUCCUACCUCUGUAAUGCUUUCUUCCUCUCUUAAUUAAUUCUUCCCCCUGCCAGCUCACCAAGUGUCCUCAGAGAGGCAUUUAAUUGGCACAGAAGCCCAGCAGCUCCGUGACCCUCCCCGCAAACACUCACGGCCAAGAACAGAAGCAGCUCCCCUACCUUCCUGCGGCUGGUGCGGUGCGGCGGCGGUGGAGGCUCCGCGGUGGAGGCUCCGCGGUGGAGGUCGGGGUGUCGCCCACCGACGCAGGCCCUGGUGGUGCCGCCGCCUCAUUUUUAAUAAAAGCGCCCCUGCCAAAGCAACUGUAAAGGGAAAUCAAGAUCCCCUCUUUGUGUCUCUUGAUCUUCACCAGACUUGAAGAACCUGUAGUUCUUGGAGCUGGAGGAUACUACUGAAUUUCAAGGAUUAUGGGUAUGAAACAACUAUGCAGACACCAAGGUCAGUGAAGGGCAGAGGAAAAAGAGGAAGAGUUUGAUCAAGAAGCCAGUCCUUCGGCAAAGAAAUGGGAGGAAGGAGCGAGAGAAACCGGACAUGAAGCAAAAACUACCCAGUCCCUGACCUCAUCAGAACUUCGAGACAUGUGGAAAGAUGACAGCUGCCAGCCAGAUGAGCGGAUUGCUGCCUGGCUGCUCCAAUGCUGGGAUAACAGGGCCAACAGUCAGCAGUUAGAAGCUCUGCCACCAGGCUGAGCAGAUCGUCCAGUCGGUGACACCUCACACAGCUGAAUUCGCUACUGGUGACACCUCACGCAGCUGUAUUCGCUACUGCCAUCCGUUACCAGUGAAAGGCUCUGGCACGCCCUGCAGCCUGAGGCCUGGACGGCUGCACGCUUUUGUGGGAGCUCUGUCCGGGUUGCCACAUCCAUCCUGGCGAGCGAGGAGGACGUGGCUUUCUGUCGGGUGGAAUACCACUGCUAAUCUCCUCCAGGGAGGGCCAUGAGCACCGGCUGAAGGCACCCCUGGAGCCGGUGGGGGUGACGAUGCCCUUCCCGCGCAAACUGCGGCGCCACGCGCGGGGGGGGGGGGGGGGGGCGCGGUUGCUGUGGCAACGCCAGGGUCUCGCGAGAGCUGCCGGCGCUUGGCGGGUCUCGCCGCUGCCCCGGCGCUUCCCCGCCUGAGGGAACCCCCCCCGCCGGGACCUGCCGCUCCGCUGCGGGCCGUUCUGCGGUGCUGUCAUCUAGGAUUUCUGUAAACUUUAGGUAAUUAAGGUCUCAACUUUCCAUAUGUAUGAUGGAUAUGUCUUCUCUAGAUACGAGAUACGUAAUUAUCUUAAAUGGGUAGCAGGACAAUACAGACAUUUUAGAAAACACAGAUACUAAAUAGGCUGUUCUGCUGUUGAAGGUCAUUAGCAGUGGUGGUUGCUUUUUUUGUUAACGUAAAAUACAUUAGUCUUGUUUAACUAUUGCAAAGUGAAGUAAUGCCGAGUAGAAAAUAACGUGUGCUGGUGCCCCCCACAAAGUUAGUGCUUUUGAACUCCUCGACACAUUUCAAAACACAGGGUAAGAUGGAAUCUUUGCUUGUAGUUCCAAGUACGGGACAAAACGUAGCCUUCCCAGUUCAGAAGGAGCUCAGAAAGAAAUUAUGACUCAGAGACGGUCCUCUGAAUCAUACUUCCCCUGAGCUGUAGCAUUGCACAAGCGGGGAGUGCGCGAUCAGCUCUUUGCCAGAGGAAGCAAGUUCCCUCUCCCAUGUCCAGUCAGCUCCCUUUGCUGAUACAGAAGGCAGCAAAAUGACGAUUAUGUUUACUUCUGACCCAAUUUCCCCCAACUUCUCCACUUACUCAUGGAAGGAAAUGAUGUCUCUUCGAGGUUUGCUCAUUAAUACAGUGCCCUUAAUAUAGUUUUCAGGAAGGAUGGCGUGAUGGCACAGCAGAAUGCAAGAACGCCUUACAACUUACACGCGGAACUUUAUAGCCAUCAGAUGCCUGGUGUAUUAAGUAUGUUUUACUGCUCAUUUUUAGGUAGGUGGGACACUACUCACUUGUCGGGUCUGAAACGAAUGCUUGUUCCUUGAGCACUCACUUUUCAUCCUAUAGGAAGCAAAUCUGUCGCAGUGAGCAAAUAUAUCAGCAACACCUACGUGGCUUGCAAAGUAUUGUUUGAGUUUGAUUCCAGGCAGAUUUGGCAAGACUAAUGAUCACCAAGUAAAACACAAUUAAACAAAUCUGAGUUCUUGGUAAUUUUUUUCAGAAAACAAACCAUACUCACAUGCAAACCAACAAAAAUAAGUAUUUCCUGUGUGUUAAAUUUAAGAAUUUAAGAAUAGUGUAAGCAAAUAAUCAGUUGAUCAGCUAAUUAAGCUCUGCAAUGACUUAUAACAGAUUCAGCCAGCAGAUUUUACAGACAAACAGUGAUUUAGCUGUAAAUAAUUGAGAUUAAAGUAUUCAUUUGUUAGUAUUAGAUCAGCUAGCAAUGCAAAGGUCCAUUGUUCUUAAUGGCUAAAGAGGUUAAUGAUUCUGGUAACCUACUAGGAAUCAAGCAUUUAGAAUUCUAAUUUGGUAGGAACAGUAAUUCUAUGUGAAGCCUGACAUUGAAUAGGGGUUUUUUUUUUUCCUGGUUGAUGAAGGAGGAAAAUCUAAAGUAGAUACGAUAGCAUAUGUUGAAAUUGGUCAUUUCAGUGAUAGACAUCUAUACAUUUAUAGUGAAAUUUUAAGAAAAUUUUACCUGAACCAUGCACUUAAGGGACAAAUUACGCACCUAUCAAUAUAGGAGGAAAUGCAUGAGGAAAUAUCAAUUUGUUCAGUUUAGCCUGUAGGACUGCUUGGGUAAGUGGCUGCUCACCAACACAAAUAUAGAUUGUGCAAUCUAAUUUUAAGUAUGCAACUUGAAAUUCCAUUCUGUAUGAUCCUUACACCUACGUUUGUUCUUCAGAAAGAGCAUUCACAGAUUCACAAGUAGUUUUCACAACAACUAAAAAUUUUUACAAAAGAAAAUAGGUUAUAAUAAAGCCAGGGAAAAAAUUAUGUUGCAAUAAAUUGAAACAACAGGAGAUUGUCACUGAAUAUUUGCUCUGUCUCCUGAUACUCAAUUGUCUGGGCUGUUCUGUUAUUCUUGUUAGUCUUUUAUGCUUGUCAAGCUUUAUUUUCCAUCACUUUACAAAAACUGAAGAAUAGACUGAGAAAUAAAUGAUCAUAAUUAUAAAAAAUAUGAUGUGCCUGUGUUUUUUAGGAACGUAACAGUCAUUCUGACAGAUACGCCCUUAUAGUGUAGAAGGUAAAACUGGUAAACCUGAUCUAGACUGUCUCUAUGACUGGCAUACCAUGUGGCCAGUGAACAAGUGUUAGUCUGCUUCCAUGGUAUUAUUCACAGUUUUAUGGAGUUCUGAGAAGAGGCGUUAUCUAUAGUGCCUUUUUAGGUAACAGUGACAUCAUUUGUAUGAUUUGUUUUAUAUUGUACUUAUUUUUAAUAUAUCGGUGUAGAUUAACUCAACACUUCUUGGUACUGAUGCAUCUCGGAGGAUAGGGUCAUUUUCCCCUGUACCCAUGGCUUGAUGUGAGUGAGAGUAGGGGAGAGGAAAAAGUCUGCGUAAAUAUGUUGUAUCAGUGCAAAAUCAAUCACUUAAUGCCUUUCAGGGCUUCCCUUACUAUUGUGCUUUCGGUAAUAGAAUUUUCUGUUACUUAGUACUGUUGGCAGUUCAGUGUUAUUUCUGUGUAUUUGUACAAGAUGACCUUUACCACAAUAUGAAGAAUAAAUAAUAAUGGAGGGGCAGUGAGUCUCUAAAUUAUAUUUCAUACUAGAUUAGAACAGGCUUACCUCUCUUUUUUAAUAAAGGCAUUUGAUAUAUUUUGAAAUAAAGUAUUUCUUCAUUUUUUUGAAUAAAAACAUCUCCAAAAUUUAUAUCCUAAAACUCCUGAAGAUAAAAUGUACAAGGUAUGCAUUUGUAUCACUGCAUUUCAUAGCAAUGUAUUUCUCAUCUCCAGGCAGUUUAUAAAGGAGUAGUGCUCAGAAGAUUUCAAAAUCUUGCCUAACAUUCUGCUGUUGCUUCUUAAAUCAGAUUCUGAAGUGUUCGUGUUCCAAAUCUCAAUUACUUUUGAAUCUUGCAAAGUGAACCUGGCACUGGAUGCUAAUCCCUUCAACAUAAAAGCAUUGUAUGAUGUAAUAAAACUGUAUUUCAUACAGUCUUACAAAUAAAUUAUGUCCCAAAUAAGUUUAUA
Molecule: long non-coding RNA, 4443 nt
Organism: Aquila chrysaetos chrysaetos
Lineage: Eukaryota; Metazoa; Chordata; Aves; Accipitriformes; Accipitridae
Exons: 4
Source: RefSeq, a predicted model, not a curated record